ACAGGGGAGCAAGGCUCUUCUGACACAGAGAAAUGUUUUCUUUAUUAUAUACUUUUGCAAUUACAUAUGAAACUUGGCAAGUUAAACAGUUUUUGCUUAGAUACAGUGAAGUUGCUAUUUUGGUUACACAUUCAGACAUGGUUGACCGACCGCCCAACUACAAUCUUAGCAGGGAAUCAACCUUUCUAAAGCACAUAAACAAAGGAAGCAAACAGAUCAGUCACUAGGAGUUCUUGAUUAGGUAUAAUUUUUCAAAGAAUUGUUCUCUUGUCCACUGGACAACAGGACCCACAUUUGCAAUAUCUCCAUCUAGAGCCAGUCCAGCACACACAGGGCAUUCGCCUAAUGUUUUCCCGUGCACGAGACCCGUGCAGCGCUCUCCUCCCGUUCUUGUGCGUGAACAUUGCCACACAGGAGCCUCCUGGAACUGGCAGGAGGGAAAGAUGGGGGAGGAGAUGAACCGGAGAAAACACAGGGAGGAUGAGCGCUCCAUCCAGAACAAUGAAGCCAAGGUCACAAACCUUCAGAAAGAGGUGGGCCUGUUCAGCGGCGUCUGCAUCAUCGUGGGCACCAUCAU
Chinchilla lanigera (long-tailed chinchilla) is the source of this 577-nucleotide long non-coding RNA. RefSeq lists it as uncharacterized. Lineage: Eukaryota; Metazoa; Chordata; Mammalia; Rodentia; Chinchillidae. The transcript is spliced from 3 exons. The record is from RefSeq and is a predicted model, not a curated record.